RNAcentral lists this transfer RNA (74 nucleotides) under Caudoviricetes sp. RNAcentral's name for it is "tRNA-Arg". It matches the Rfam family "tRNA". From Rfam's summary of the family: Transfer RNA (tRNA) molecules are approximately 80 nucleotides in length. Lineage: Duplodnaviria; Heunggongvirae; Uroviricota; Caudoviricetes. The record is from RNAcentral.
GCGCUUGUAGCUCAGCCGGAUAGAGUGACUGGCUACGAACCAGUAGGUCGGGGGUUCGAGUCCCUCCAAGCGCG